CCACCGAACACACACGUACCAGCACACACGGCGACGCCGUUCGCUUGCGCGAGUGCGAAGUGAAGAAAAGAAAAGCGUGACCACAGAGGGACGAUAGUGACGAUCGGAUUUCCAUUUCCUAUCGGGGAAAACAGAAUACUUCCGAGUGCAGUGAAAAUCGUCCGCGUGAACAAGUGAAAAGAAGCGUGCAGUCCAUCCAUCCGGUAGCACAUCGGCGGCCAUCAUGCAGGUGUGCUGCGUAGUGGCGUAAAGCAGUGCGAAGAGGAUGAUGUAAGAAAACACGGCGAAGUAGCAGCAGAGUCGCUGCGUAUUAUUUUAAGACCCGCCAAGGUGGCUCCGUCGUUUGGCAUAAUCAUCGUUCCGCCGUGGCCAUAAAUAUCGAAUCUAUCUGUACAAUCCAGAAGAAAAUGGUUCCCAUCGGGACAGAGCAGUGCUAGAGUGUUUGUGGUAGUGCGGCAGUGGCACCUUUGUGCAUCGGGAGUGGGUAUGCGUGCGUGCGGCAGCGUGUGUUUUCGUUUUUCGUCAUCCUACGACGGAUUCUUCUUUUAAUCCACCUCUUCUUGCCAUUAACAUUCUUGUUCCGGAAUACCGGAAGGAUCAGGAUGUCGGAUUGAAGCGACGAACAAGGCAGCCACUGUAAUAGUCAUCCUUUGCAUACCGGGGGCAGGCGAAUAUCGCAGCGAAUGCACCACGAGAGUCACCAGGAUUUCGGAUGCUACGGGCUUACCGUAGCUCACACUCCUUUUCGGCUAUUUUAGUUGAGCUGCAUUUAUUUUCUGCUACGAGCCGAGCGGUCACGCGGGUGUGAGUAACAGAGAAAAAGCCCCCUAGUAUCCCCCGUGUGUUGGAAAACAGUAUGGCAAGGAUUGUACCGGGCGCGAUCGUUCCACCAUCGAUCGCCCUGUGCUGUAAAGCACCUGACCAGCAGCAGGAGAACGGAAACAAGCAGCUCGACUUCAUCCAUCGAGACUAGUCGUAGCAGGAGAAGCAAGGAGCAUUAGAAUCGAAGCGUAUGCGAGUUGCGAUCGUCGGGCAAACAACUGCAAGAAAAGCCAAUGUGCGUGACUGAACCGGGAGUUAACGCUCAUUUUGGGUUUUUUCUUCUUCCAAGUUCUAAUACCGAUCCGUCGGUACCCGCUCGAGGCCAAUCUUGCUGAAGAAACGGAAUUUACGCAGUUCUUUCUAAUUUACCUCCUCGUAGUUUUGUACCUCUGCCAUCACUUCGGAAAAGUUGAAAUCAACGGAGGAAAAGUAGUCCGGGCAAAUUCAGUCAAAUCGCUUAGCAAUGGCUACUUAAAUCGUAGUUCAUCUUUCUUCCUUUCUCGUGAACUGUUUUUCGCAUCUUUCCGGUAGAAAUUCUUGCACCGAGGUGGUCUCCAUCCGAUCUACAGCGGAGUGUGUUUGGUACGUUGCGCAUGCCGUUGUCGCCCAGCUUUCUCCCGGCAGACAGCAGAGCUGCUGCUGCGUUAGCAAAAAUAACGAAGAAAAGAGAAAAUUAUUCAUUGCCACUUGAUUCGCGAGCCCGCGCGUGUGUUUGUGCGUUUGUUGUGUGUAGUGUUUUGUGAGCACACCUGUAUUGUGUCGACGGGCUGUCUGUUUUUUUCCCCGCGGUUCACGUGAAGAAAGAUAAAAUUGUUCCGUGCAGUGGGAGAUUGUGUGCAAAAGGCUGUUUUUCCCCCACUAGUUUCCACAAAUUUCAACCUAUCAAACAUAACAAAUUGCUCCGUGUGCACCCCGCGGUUGUGGGAGCCACUAGGCGUAUACACACAUACACAUACACACAUUUCGCGUUCUACCCUUUGGACGCGGGGCAGUUUUCUUCCCCCGUUCAACGAGCGAAACGAAACACUGGCCACAAGUCAAAGAAAAAUCCUCCGUUUUGGAAGCCAAUCUGAGCUAAAAGUCUGCGUUUGUUUAAAAACACACGCGGCGUCACGAAAGAGAACGAGUAAGCAUUGAUGGUCCAGUAGCGGACAAGGAAGAGAUACAUUUAUAUCUUUAGUACUGCUUGUAACCAACAAAACCGCCACAAUUUUGGAGGUAUUGUCAGCAGAGGGCGUUUGUGGUUGCGGUGAGUGUGCAACCAGCGGCGGUGUGGGACCGAGCGGUGGC
Anopheles coustani is the source of this 2112-nucleotide long non-coding RNA. RefSeq lists it as uncharacterized. NCBI's taxonomy places the organism in Eukaryota, Metazoa, Arthropoda, Insecta, Diptera, Culicidae. The record is from RefSeq and is a predicted model, not a curated record. The transcript is spliced from 3 exons.